RKKCGCCCUUAGAGUUUGAUCCUGGCUCAGAACGAACGCUGGCGGCGUGCUUAACACAUGCAAGUCGAACGUGAUCCGGAGCUUGCUCCGGUGAAAGUGGCGCACGGGUGAGUAUCGCGUGGAUAACCUGCCCUGGUAUCUGGGAUAACAUCUCGAAAGGGGUGCUAAUACCGGAUAAGCCCACGGACUCCUCGGAGUCUGCGGGAAAAGGUGGCCUCUAUUUAUAAGCUACCGUAUCAGGAUGAGUCCGCGUACCAUUAGCUAGUUGGUGGGGUAAUGGCCCACCAAGGCUACGAUGGUUAGCUGGUCUGAGAGGAUGAUCAGCCACACUGGAACUGAGACACGGUCCAGACUCCUACGGGAGGCAGCAGUGGGGAAUUUUGCGCAAUGGGGGAAACCCUGACGCAGCAACGCCGCGUGAGUGAUGAAGGCUUUCGGGUCGUAAAGCUCUGUCAGAGGGGAAGAAAUGAAACGUGCUAAUAUCACGUUUUCUUGACGGUACCCUCAAAGGAAGCACCGGCUAACUCCGUGCCAGCAGCCGCGGUAAUAC
RNAcentral lists this ribosomal RNA (550 nucleotides) under uncultured Geobacteraceae bacterium. Its description in RNAcentral is "bacterial SSU rRNA". It matches the Rfam family "Bacterial small subunit ribosomal RNA", at positions 1 to 526 of the family's 1533-position model. Lineage: Bacteria; Pseudomonadati; Thermodesulfobacteriota; Desulfuromonadia; Geobacterales; Geobacteraceae. The record is from RNAcentral.